CACGUAGCAAUCCCUACAAAAGCAUAUUGCUUUUAACACGGCUUGUGAAAGAAAGCCCGGGACUGGUGGCACCGGGCAGGAGCUCAGCACCUUUCCAUCCGUGGUCAGCUCAGCACUACUGGGACCCCACCGUAGGCUCAAGGCUGAAGUGCCAGCGGCUUUCCUUUCGUGCCAUUCCCGGCCCGACGUGCCGAGGACUCAGAAGCCCUCAUCCCAGGCCAACAGCCAGAGGGAAGCGCGAUGUCGAUGCAAGGCUGAGAGCCGGGGAAAAUUCUAAAUUAAGCAGAAAACGGAGCUUAUCUGGAGCAAAAUCACGCACGAGGAGAAUGCAGAGAGCAGCAGACGCAGCUGAGCGGAGAAAGCGAGACAAGGUCCAAGGAAAACAAAAAGCGAGAAGGCAACAAUGCACUGCCCUAACGAAGUCGGUGCGUUCUCAGUGCCUUCCAGUUCCCAGCUCACUGCCUGGUCCUGACUCGGGCAAAACUGACCACCUAGGAGUUUAACGCCUAGAAGUAGGUAUUACCAUUUUUUAAAUUUAUUUUUCUUUCCUUUUUUUUUUCUCUUUUCUUUCUUUUUUUUUUUUUUAAGAGUUGCUCUUGUUAAACUGUCAAACCGUUCUUUUUAUUGUAUUUUGCAGAAAUAUUUUCGCAAGCCAAGGGAACAAAUCCUGCGAGACCUGGCGCUGAUUAAGUAGAGGGCAUGCCUGCAAACACACUUCGCAGUAAUUUGGGGGCUGUCACUUCCAGCAGAAGAGAAAAUGGUUUUUUGCUAUAUAAUGAACAUGAGGGCACAGGGAAGUUUCACCUGAAGAGCGUUACAGCUCUGAAGACCUCUGACCUGCACCGAGCAGUGAGAGAGAAGGGAACUCAGCUAGCAACUGCAUUGCAAAAACCACCAAAUGAAGAUGAGCAAUACAUGGUGACUGUUUUUUUUUUGUUGUUGUUGUUUGGUUUUUGUUUUUUUUUUUUUAAUCUAAUCAUUAUUAACUUGGCCUUGAGAUGUGUUUAGAAUUAUCUAGGCAUCAUUCACAACUAUUUUAUUUGCUUGGUCUAUUUCUGUUUGAUUAAAACCUGG
Molecule: long non-coding RNA, 1074 nt
Filed under: Anser brachyrhynchus (Pink-footed goose)
Lineage: Eukaryota; Metazoa; Chordata; Aves; Anseriformes; Anatidae
Description: lncRNA (ENSABRG00000005349.1)
Source: RNAcentral